GGGCAAAUGGUUUAGGGGUAUAAUAUCUCAUUCGCAUGGUGUGACUUGAGAUGGUCCUGGGUUCGAUUCCCAGUUUGUCCA
Transfer RNA from Tuber melanosporum (Perigord truffle), 81 nucleotides. It matches the Rfam family "tRNA". From Rfam's summary of the family: Transfer RNA (tRNA) molecules are approximately 80 nucleotides in length. Their secondary structure includes four short double-helical elements and three loops (D, anti-codon, and T loops). Further hydrogen bonds mediate the characteristic L-shaped molecular structure. tRNAs have two regions of fundamental functional importance: the anti-codon, which is responsible for specific mRNA codon recognition, and the 3' end, to which the tRNAs corresponding amino acid is attached (by aminoacyl-tRNA synthetases). tRNAs cope with the degeneracy of the genetic code in two manners: having more than one tRNA (with a specific anti-codon) for a particular amino acid; and 'wobble' base-pairing, i.e. permitting non-standard base-pairing at the 3rd anti-codon position. The record is from Rfam. NCBI's taxonomy places the organism in Eukaryota, Fungi, Ascomycota, Pezizomycetes, Pezizales, Tuberaceae.